UCCCUGAUGGUCCAGUGGCUAAGACUCCAUGCUCCCAAUCAGGGGACCCAGGUUCAAUCCCUGGUCAGGGAA
Molecule: transfer RNA, 72 nt
Filed under: Ovis aries (sheep)
Lineage: Eukaryota; Metazoa; Chordata; Mammalia; Artiodactyla; Bovidae
Rfam family: tRNA
About the family: Transfer RNA (tRNA) molecules are approximately 80 nucleotides in length. Their secondary structure includes four short double-helical elements and three loops (D, anti-codon, and T loops). Further hydrogen bonds mediate the characteristic L-shaped molecular structure. tRNAs have two regions of fundamental functional importance: the anti-codon, which is responsible for specific mRNA codon recognition, and the 3' end, to which the tRNAs corresponding amino acid is attached (by aminoacyl-tRNA synthetases). tRNAs cope with the degeneracy of the genetic code in two manners: having more than one tRNA (with a specific anti-codon) for a particular amino acid; and 'wobble' base-pairing, i.e. permitting non-standard base-pairing at the 3rd anti-codon position.
Source: Rfam by way of RNAcentral